GGCUAGGAUAAUCCAUAUGAUAGAUUUAAAAGGUUGGAAUACAAUAUGGAUGAUCCUUCAGGAUUAACAGUUUAACCCUAGAACGUUCUAGAGUAUUCAGGGUCAAAGGGAUAAAUUAUGCGAUAACCAUAUGCAUAAAUUUUUGAAUAUUGUCUUGCGAUAAUUUGACCUAUCCGGACGUCAGGAACUAUUGCUGGAUGAUAACUUCGAUUAGUAUAGAA
This 221-nucleotide long non-coding RNA is filed under the name Elaeis guineensis (African oil palm). Its description in RNAcentral is "long non-coding RNA (EGUI_LNC039232)". The record is from RNAcentral. Lineage: Eukaryota; Viridiplantae; Streptophyta; Magnoliopsida; Arecales; Arecaceae.